Molecule: ribosomal RNA, 642 nt
Filed under: Escherichia coli
Lineage: Bacteria; Pseudomonadati; Pseudomonadota; Gammaproteobacteria; Enterobacterales; Enterobacteriaceae
Description: bacterial SSU rRNA
Rfam family: Bacterial small subunit ribosomal RNA
Source: RNAcentral
AGGUUAAAACUCAAAUGAAUUGACGGGGGCCCGCACAAGCGGUGGAGCAUGUGGUUUAAUUCGAUGCAACGCGAAGAACCUUACCUGGUCUUGACAUCCACGGAAGUUUUCAGAGAUGAGAAUGUGCCUUCGGGAACCGUGAGACAGGUGCUGCAUGGCUGUCGUCAGCUCGUGUUGUGAAAUGUUGGGUUAAGUCCCGCAACGAGCGCAACCCUUAUCCUUUGUUGCCAGCGGUCCGGCCGGGAACUCAAAGGAGACUGCCAGUGAUAAACUGGAGGAAGGUGGGGAUGACGUCAAGUCAUCAUGGCCCUUACGACCAGGGCUACACACGUGCUACAAUGGCGCAUACAAAGAGAAGCGACCUCGCGAGAGCAAGCGGACCUCAUAAAGUGCGUCGUAGUCCGGAUUGGAGUCUGCAACUCGACUCCAUGAAGUCGGAAUCGCUAGUAAUCGUGGAUCAGAAUGCCACGGUGAAUACGUUCCCGGGCCUUGUACACACCGCCCGUCACACCAUGGGAGUGGGUUGCAAAAGAAGUAGGUAGCUUAACCUUCGGGAGGGCGCUUACCACUUUGUGAUUCAUGACUGGGGUGAAGUCGUAACAAGGUAACCGUAGGGGAACCUGCGGUUGGAUCACCUCCUUA